RNAcentral lists this ribosomal RNA (505 nucleotides) under Chloroflexota bacterium. RNAcentral's name for it is "Chloroflexi bacterium (hot springs metagenome) partial 23S ribosomal RNA". It matches the Rfam family "Bacterial large subunit ribosomal RNA", at positions 1 to 458 of the family's 2925-position model. Lineage: Bacteria; Bacillati; Chloroflexota. The record is from RNAcentral.
AGCCAAGCUACUAAGGGCACACGGUGGAUGCCUAGGCGCCAAGGGCCGAAGAAGGGCGUGGCUGGCUGCGAUAAGCCCCGGGGAGCCGCCAGCAGGCUGUGAUCCGGGGAUUCCCGAAUGGGGAAACCCGCCUGGGGGAAUGCCCAGGCAUCGCUGGCUGAAUCCAUAGGCCAGCGAGGGGCACCGGCCGAACUGAAACAUCUUAGUAGGCCGAGGAAGAGAAAUCAACCGAGAUUCCCCGAGUAGUGGCGAGCGAAAGGGGAAGAGCCCAAACCUGCGGUGUGCUAAAGGCCGCAGCCGUUGCACCGCAGGGGUUGCAGGCCAGCAGCGGGAGCCACUGCGGGGGCUCCAGGAAGUGAAAAAUCCUUCCCUUAGCGGAAGCGUCCUGGAACGGCGCGCCAUAGAGGGUGAAAGCCCCGUACGCGAAAGGGGAAGGACUUCCGGGCUGCUGAGCCUGAGUCCCCCGGGACACGUGGAACCCUGGGGGAAGCAGGGGGGACCACCC